GAUGAAGAACGUAGCGAAAUGCGAUAAGUAAUGUGAAUUGCAGAAUUCCGUGAAUCAUCGAAUCUUUGAACGCACAUUGCGCCCCCUGGCAUUCCGGGGGGCAUGCCUGUCCGAGCGUCAUUUCUGCCCUCCAGCCCGGCUGGGUGUUGGGCGCUGUCCCCCCGGGGACACGCCCCAAAGGCAGUGGCGGCGCCGCGUCGGGUCCUCGAGCGUAUGGGGCUUUGUCACCCGCUCGGGACGGACUCGUCGGCGCUGGUCUUCCUCCAGGCGACCCUUCGGGGCUCGUCUUCCUUCGGUUGACCUCGGAUCAGGUAGGGUUACCCGCUGAACUUAAGCAUAUCAAUAAGCGAAGGA
Molecule: unclassified non-coding RNA, 354 nt
Filed under: soil metagenome
Description: partial contains 5.8S ribosomal RNA, internal transcribed spacer 2, and large subunit ribosomal RNA
Rfam family: 5.8S ribosomal RNA (bases 1-120)
Source: RNAcentral